Molecule: non-coding RNA, 443 nt
Organism: Phyllostomus hastatus (greater spear-nosed bat)
Lineage: Eukaryota; Metazoa; Chordata; Mammalia; Chiroptera; Phyllostomidae
Source: the annotation of a RefSeq genome assembly
UUGCAUGGAGCCCCUUAUGCAGGAUAAGACAGGCCCCGAAGCCACAUCGUCAGCUGUGGGUCAGAGGAAGAUCCUGGGACUUCUCCACCAUGGCCUGGACCCCUCUCCUGCUCCCCCUCCUCACUCUCUGCACAGGUUUGGUGGCCUCUUCUGAAGUGACUCAGCCCCCAGCAGUGUCUGUGAACCUGGGACAGACAGCUAGGAUCACCUGCCAGGGAGAGCUGGUAAGAAAAUAUUAUCCUGCCUGGUUGCAGCAGAAGCCAGGCCAGGCACCCAUGCUGCUCAUCUAUGAUGACAAGAACCGGACUUCAGUGAUCCCUGACCGAUUCUCCAGUUCUCACUCAGGGGACACUAACACCCUGACCAUCAGCGGCGCCCAGGCCCAGGACGAGGCUGACUACUACUGUGCAGAAAGUGAUGGCAGUGGGAGCAGCUGGCGUUGA